AGGACGAACGCUGGGGGCGUGCUUAACACAUGCAAGUCGAACGAGAUUUAGUGAGUAGCAAUACUCACGAAGAUCUAGUGGCGAACGGGUGCGUAACACGUGAGGAACUUGUCCCGGUCUCUGGGAUAACAGUUGGAAACGACUGCUAAUACCGGAUGACGUCGGAACUUCGCAUGGAGUACUGACGAAAGGGUUACUGGAUCGGGAGAGCCUCGCGGCCUAUCAGCUUGUUGGUGGGGUAAUGGCCUACCAAGGCAUCGACGGGUAGCUGGUCUGAGAGGAUGAUCAGCCACACUGGGACUGAGACACGGCCCAGACUCCUACGGGAGGCAGCAGUGGGGAAUCUUGCACAAUGGGCGAAAGCCUGAUGCAGCAACGCCGCGUGCGGAAGAAGGCCCUCGGGUGUAAACCGCUUUCAGAAGGAACGAACUGACGUACUUCAAGAAGAAGGUGCGGCCAACUACGUGCCAGCAGCCGC
Molecule: ribosomal RNA, 478 nt
Filed under: uncultured soil bacterium
Lineage: Bacteria
Description: bacterial SSU rRNA
Rfam family: Bacterial small subunit ribosomal RNA
Source: RNAcentral